RNAcentral lists this ribosomal RNA (206 nucleotides) under uncultured bacterium. RNAcentral describes it as "partial 16S ribosomal RNA". It matches the Rfam family "Bacterial small subunit ribosomal RNA", at positions 524 to 727 of the family's 1533-position model. The record is from RNAcentral.
UACGGAGGGUGCAAAGCGUUUACCCGGAAUCACUGGGCGUAAGGGCGUGUAGGUGGCUCGUUCAGUCUGGUUUUAAAGACCGAAGCUCAACUUUCGGGCAUGGACUGGAUACUGGCGAGCUAGACGGAUGGAGAGGUCACUGGAAUUCUUGGUGUAGCGGUGGAAUGCGUAGAUACCAAGAGGAACACCGAUGGCGAAGGCAGGUG